CUACGUAAUCGUUUAAAUUCGUUAUAAUAAAACAUAAUAUUUCUAUUACUUUGUAGCCAUUUUUUCCUAAAGUACCUUUUGGUCUUAAGAUUGUAUUUAAUUUCAGGAGUAAACCAUAUCGGAUAACUAGACUUUUGUCUACGUUUUUUCGGAACAUACAAAUCAAAUAGUUGAUAGAUAACCGAGUAAAAUGACUCAAUAGCUUCAUUGACAUUGGAAAAGUCAUUUAGAAAAGACCAGUUGAUAUCACAAAAUGCAUUAUAUAAUAAAGGAAAAUUAGCUUUGUGAAAGUUAUAGACUAAGCUAUUGUUACAAGGAAAAGAAGGAUAAUUUAGGUUUUUUGUUACUUGUAGAGAGAUAGAUAUUGAAGGAUGAUGGAAGUCUUCGAACACUAAUGGAAAGUCACACUUAGUGACGUUUAGGUUCAUCUCACUGGAAGAAAAUACAAGAUCCAAAAGAUUGUUGUUAGGGUUCAUUACUGAGUUAUGCUGAAUAGCGUCAAGGACAUUUAUGAAGUUGUGAAAAACCUGCGAUUUUCGUGAUUCGUUUGUUUUCCCGAAAUCAGCAGAAAACAGAUUAACCUUUAUUGGACGUGAUCGAACUGUAUUGGAAGCAUCAUAUUUUCCCAACCUAACCGGCUUGAUUUGUUGAGUUGCUGAUGAGCCCAAAUUGUUCAAUAUAUCCGAGAUCAAGGCACAGUCUAAGUCAGAUUGUUCUUUCUUGGACGAACCAGCUUCCGUUACACCAUAAAUAAGUAAGUUAGAAGACCUUUUAUUUCUUUCAGAUAUUUCAGAAAUAAUUUCUUCCAUGACCAUAGGAGAGAGUGAAGUAUUAGAACGAACCGGGUUAGAAAUGUUUUCAAUCUUUUCGUUUAACUUAUUGAUCUCUUGUUUCAAGUCAGUAACUAGCGAGAGAAUUUUUGGAAGCUGAUGCAACCCCUGUUCACAGUCCAUACAAAAUAUAUUUAAAUCUACGCUUAGAAUUUGGCCUUAACUCAAAACAUUUAAUUUCAGCAGCCGAGAGAUCUGAGCAAUUUACAUGUACCGGUCUUUCACAACCAUCGCAUUUGAUAAAUGAUUUAGUUUGAUUUUCAUUGACCGGAUCUUUACAUUUUAAACAAGAAAAAGGCAUUUUGAAAAAUUAAAUGCUAAAUAAAUAAAUAAUUCAAAUAAUCAAGAGUAAGAAAAAGUAAGAAAAAGU
Long non-coding RNA from Tribolium castaneum (red flour beetle), 1200 nucleotides. RefSeq lists it as uncharacterized. Lineage: Eukaryota; Metazoa; Arthropoda; Insecta; Coleoptera; Tenebrionidae. The record is from RefSeq and is a predicted model, not a curated record. The transcript is spliced from 2 exons.